GAUGAACGCUGGCGGCGUGCCUAAUACAUGCAAGUCGAACGAAACUUCUUUAUCACCGAGUGCUUGCACUCACCGAUAAAGAGUUGAGUGGCGAACGGGUGAGCAACACGUGGGCAACCUGCCCAAAAGAGGGGGAUAACACUUGGAAACAGGUGCUAAUACCGCAUAACCAUAGUUACCGCAUGGUAACUAUGUAAAAGGUGGCUAUACUACCGCUUUUGGAUGGGCCCGCGGGGCAUUAGCUAGUUGGUAGGGUAAAGGCUUACCAAGGCAAUGAUGCGUAGCCGAAUUGAGAGGUUGAUCGGCCACAUUGGGACUGAGACACGGCCCAAACUCCUACGGGAGGCAGCAGUAGGGAAUCUUCCACAAUGGGCGAAAGCCUGAUGGAGCAACGCCGCGUGGGUGAAGAAGGUCUUCGGAUCGUAAAACCCUGUUGUUAGGGAAGAAAGUGCGUGGGAGUAACUGUUCACGUUUCGACGGUAUCUAACCAGAAAGCCACUGCUAACUACGUG
RNAcentral lists this ribosomal RNA (512 nucleotides) under uncultured bacterium. RNAcentral describes it as "partial 16S ribosomal RNA". It matches the Rfam family "Bacterial small subunit ribosomal RNA", at positions 28 to 507 of the family's 1533-position model. The record is from RNAcentral.